AACGAACGCUGGCGGCGUGCCUAAUACAUGCAAGUCGAGCGAACAGACGAGGAGCUUGCUCCUCUGACGUUAGCGGCGGACGGGUGAGUAACACGUGGAUAACCUACCUAUAAGACUGGGAUAACUUCGGGAAACCGGAGCUAAUACCGGAUAACAUGUUGAACCGCAUGGUUCAACAGUGAAAGACGGCCUUGCUGUCACUUAUAGAGGGAUCCGCGCCGCAUUAGCUAGUUGGUAAGGUAACGGCUUACCAAGGCAACGAGGCGUAGCCGACCUCAGAGGGUGAUCGGCCACAUUGGAACGUGGACGCGGUCCAGGCUCCUGCGGGAGGCAGCAGUCUGGAAUCUUCCGCAAUGGUCGAAAGCCUGACGGAGCAACGCCGCGUGAGUGAAGAAGGUCUUCGGAUCGUAAAACUCUGUUAUUAGGGAAGAACAAAUGUGUAAUUAACUAUGCACGUCUUGACGGUACCUAAUCAGAAAGCCACGGCUAACUACGUG
Molecule: ribosomal RNA, 497 nt
Filed under: uncultured bacterium
Lineage: Bacteria
Description: partial 16S ribosomal RNA
Rfam family: Bacterial small subunit ribosomal RNA
Source: RNAcentral